AAGAAACUAACAAGGAUUCCCCUAGUAACGGCGAGUGAAGCGGGAUGAGCUCAAAUUUAAAAUCUGGCGGCCUCAGGUCGUCCGAGUUGUAGUCUAGAGAAUCGUUUUCCGCGUUGGCCUGUGUACAAGUCCCUUGGAACAGGGCGUCAUAGAGGGUGAGAAUCCCGUCCUUGACACAGACUACCAAUGCUUUGUGAUGCGAUCUCGAAGAGUCGAGUUGUUUGGGAAUGCAGCUCAAAAUGGGUGGUAAAUUCCAUCUAAAGCUAAAUAUUGGCGAGAGACCGAUAGCGAACAAGUACCGUGAGGGAAAGAUGAAAAGCACUUUGGAAAGAGAGUUAAACAGUACGUGAAAUUGUUAAAAGGGAAACGAUUGAAGUCAGUCAUGCUUUCCGAGACUCAGCCGAUUCUGUCGGUGUACUUCUCGGUUGGCAGGCCAGCAUCAGUUUCGAUCUGUGGAAAAGGUUGGAGGGAACGUGGCAUCCUCGGAUGUGUUAUAGCCCUUCUUCGAAUACAUAGAGCGGGACUGAGGAACGCAGCGCGCCUUUUAUUAGGUUGGCCCUCGGGUACAUACGCGCUUAGGAUGCUGGCAUAAUGGCUUUAAACGACCCGUC
This 611-nucleotide ribosomal RNA is filed under the name Mrakia frigida. RNAcentral describes it as "eukaryotic LSU rRNA". It matches the Rfam family "Eukaryotic large subunit ribosomal RNA", at positions 59 to 653 of the family's 3401-position model. The record is from RNAcentral. Lineage: Eukaryota; Fungi; Basidiomycota; Tremellomycetes; Cystofilobasidiales; Mrakiaceae.